UACGUAGGGUGCGAGCGUUGUCCGGAAUCAUUGGGCGUAAAGCGCGUGUAGGCGGCUCGUUAAGUCCGGUGUGAAACCUUGGGGCUCAACCCCAAGCCUGCACUGGAUACUGACGAGCUCGAGUCCGGGAGGGGAGAGCGGAAUUCCUAGUGUAGCGGUGAAAUGCGCAGAUAUUAGGAAGAACACCGGUGGCGAAGGCGGCUCUCUGGAACGGUACUGACGCUGAGACGCGAAAGCGUGGGGAGCGAACAGG
RNAcentral lists this ribosomal RNA (253 nucleotides) under uncultured bacterium. Its description in RNAcentral is "partial 16S ribosomal RNA". It matches the Rfam family "Bacterial small subunit ribosomal RNA", at positions 524 to 776 of the family's 1533-position model. The record is from RNAcentral.